This is a long non-coding RNA of Mauremys reevesii (Reeves's turtle), 1150 nucleotides long. RefSeq lists it as uncharacterized. The record is from RefSeq and is a predicted model, not a curated record. The transcript has 2 exons. Lineage: Eukaryota; Metazoa; Chordata; Testudines; Geoemydidae.
AUACCAUCUUGGCCAACAUCAGGGGACGCAGGAGUGGGAUCAGGGCUGGGGCAGAGGGUUGACUGUAAUCCAGUUAUGUGAUUGUAUAAGCCAGCUGAUCUCCAGUGGUCCCAUGUGUGCAGCUUCAGAGGGGGCAGGGGUGAAAAGGAAAGGCUUCAGGAGCAUCCCCAGAAACAGCAACAGCCCUGAGCCAUAAUGACGGCUGACUGAUGACGUUUAUCUGCUAUCCUCACACCCUGUUUUGGGGUCCCCCACCUGCCACGCAGUGAACAAGCCAGGGUUCCCUUGAAACUGGAGACUUUUCUUUUGUGUGAGCUCCUGGCUUUAGAUGCAUCUUUAACCACUGUGGAACCUCCAGGAUGAAUGUACCAGAUAUGCUGGGGACAUCCAGGCAAGGCAUGCCUGUUGAGCGAUCAAGCUCACUCAGUGUGUCCAGGCAGAGAAGUGUGGCCCAAAUAUGUCCUCAUUAUCCAUUGACUGCAAUGGAAUAUUCGUGGAAACCUGUAGCACAGUGCAGGACCAACAGCAAAAAGGUUGAGAGGCAAAGGGUAUUCUACCAUCUACCACACAGGAUAUGCAAAUCCACUCCAGGAGGAUCUGACUUCUUGCUGCCUACAAAUGUGCACAGGGCUGCUUGUAUGUCUGUGACUCAUACCCACCAUCUGUAUUUUAGCCAAAAUACAGACAUGCACAGACAGGUGCAUCACGUAGAUGGAGAGACCAACAGAUAAGAGACAGGUGGGGAGGUUUCUGUUUUCCUUCCUGCCUUCUGGAGAUUUUGGCAUUCCUCCUUUUUUGCUCUUUCUCUGCUUUGCUGACUAUAAAACUCAAAAAGGAAUGGAAGAAUAGAAUGAGAGAGACCUGCCAAUGGGAGGAGAACAGGAGAGGUUGAUGGGAUGGUCCAGAAGAACCAACCAAACUGAAUAUCUCAAUGAGACAACAGCAUUUUGGUUCCUCACCAGUAAUUCUCAUCUCUUGUAAUCAAGGUGUUGCGGGUAUGGACACAGAAUGAUUCCCUCCUGUCCUGUGCUAGUAACCUUCCUUUCCUCUAGAACAGACUUCCCUACUUUAAUUCAUGAUGCCAAUGUUUAGAUGCUACAUUGAUAAGUGCUACAGGAAACCUAAGAGAAAUAAAUAAUAAAUAUCCUCA